AACGAACGCUGGCGGCAUGCCUAACACAUGCAAGUCGAACGAGACCUUCGGGCCUAUGUGCGCACGUGUGCGGAACGCGGGGUAAGCUGCCCGUAGGUUCGGUAUAACUCCCCGAAAGGGGUCCUAAUACCGCAGGAUCUCUUCGGACCAAAGAUUUAUCGCUUUUGGAUGGGGGCUCGUUGGAUUAGUCAGUUGGUAGGGUAAAAGCAUACCAAGGCGACGAUCCAUAGCUGGUCGGAGAGGAUGCCCAGGCGCGCUGGGACUGAGGCCCGGCCCAGCCUCGUACGGGAGGCAGGAGUAGGGAAUAUUAGACAAUGAGCGAAAGCCUGAUAAAGCCAUGCCGCGUGAGUGAUGAAGGCCUUAGGAUUGUAAAGCUCUUUUACCCGGGAUGAUAAUGACAGUACCGGGAGAAUAAGCACCGGCUAACUACGUG
This 433-nucleotide ribosomal RNA is filed under the name uncultured bacterium. RNAcentral's name for it is "partial 16S ribosomal RNA". It matches the Rfam family "Bacterial small subunit ribosomal RNA", at positions 29 to 507 of the family's 1533-position model. The record is from RNAcentral.